GAUGAACGCUGGCGGCGUGCCUAAUACAUGCAAGUCGAGCGAACAGACGAGGAGCUUGCUCCUCUGACGUUAGCGGCGGACGGGUGAGUAACACGUGGAUAACCUACCUAUAAGACUUGGAUAACUUCGGGAAACCGUAGCUAAUACCGGAUAAUAUAUUGACCCGCAUGGUUCAAUAGUGAAAGACGGUUUUGCUGUCACUUAUAGAUGGAUCCGCGCCGCAUUAGCUAGUUGGUAAGUUAACGGCUUACCACGGCAACGAUGCGUAGCCGACCUGAGAGGGUGAUCGGCCACACGAGAACUGAGACACGGUCCAGACUACUACGGGAGGCCGAAGUAGGGAAUCUUCCGCAAUGGGCGAAAAUUUGACGGAGCAACGCCGCGUGAGUGAUGAAGGUCUUCGGCUCGUAAAACUCUGUUAUGAGGGAAGAACAAAUGUGUAAGUAACUAUGCACGUCUUGACGGUAACUAAUCAGAAAGCCACGGCUAACUACGUG
This 497-nucleotide ribosomal RNA is filed under the name uncultured bacterium. Its description in RNAcentral is "partial 16S ribosomal RNA". It matches the Rfam family "Bacterial small subunit ribosomal RNA", at positions 28 to 507 of the family's 1533-position model. The record is from RNAcentral.